This 246-nucleotide ribosomal RNA is filed under the name uncultured bacterium. RNAcentral's name for it is "partial small subunit ribosomal RNA". It matches the Rfam family "Bacterial small subunit ribosomal RNA", at positions 26 to 286 of the family's 1533-position model. The record is from RNAcentral.
AGAAUCAACGCUGGCGGCGUGCCUAACACAUGCAAGUCGAACGAGAAAGUGGAGCAAUCCAUGAGUAAAGUGGCGACCGGGUGAGUAACACGUGACUAACCUACCUUUCAGUGGGGAAUAACCUCGGGAAACCGGGGCUAAUACCGCAUAAUGUCUUCGGACCAAAGGAGCAAUUCGCUGGAAGAGGGGGUCGCGGCCGAUUAGCUAGUUGGCGGGGUAACGGCCCACCAAGGCAAUGAUCGGUAG